Long non-coding RNA from Dioscorea cayenensis subsp. rotundata (Guinea yam), 1611 nucleotides. RefSeq lists it as uncharacterized. NCBI's taxonomy places the organism in Eukaryota, Viridiplantae, Streptophyta, Magnoliopsida, Dioscoreales, Dioscoreaceae. The record is from RefSeq and is a predicted model, not a curated record. The transcript is spliced from 3 exons.
UCAUGAAUAAUACACAAUUGUUCACUGCUGUGUGGUCAUCAUUUCUUUUUAAAUUGAGUACAUAGAAUAUGGUUGGUGAAAAGUUCGAUCAACUAUCAAAGCAUGUGGGAAAUUUGACUCAUUGUGAGCAGAGCAUAUCGUUUAUUUGGAUGGUUUAUCAUUCAAUUCCGUAAUGUGACACUACCAAGUCUAUGUUUUAUUCUGUACCUUGAAUAUAAAAUUCUGAAGUUCUAAAAUUAAGAUGAGUUUUCUGAUUACUGUGGAAGUUUGUUAUUACUUAAUGAGAAAAGAAAGAGACCAUGUUGAAAUUUGUACUCUCUCAGAAUUCCCAAUUUUAUAUUUUAUCAUUUUCCAUUGACACUGCUAGGUGGUUUUGCUUAACUAACUUUUAAUAUAGGAUGCCUGAUUUAUGACCGAAUGCUACACAAGUUGGGCUUUAGAUAUAAGAUCAUAAGUUAUAUGCUAUAAAAUAUUUUAAUAAGAUUUAUGUUAAUUUUGUUUUUCAUGUGUCCAUGGGCUUAUUAUGUAUGACACACCACACAAUAAUAUAAGUUAUUAUCAUUUUUUUAUGUUAUUUUUAUUGCAAGAAGAAUUAAUCUCAACCACUGAAACUGAAAGACUGCUUUAAUAGCUCCUCAGUCUGAGAUUGCAAAUGCAUAGCCACCAAUGAGUGGCUUUUUCCUGAAAACCCAUUCAUUCAUUUAAUUGCAUUUCAUUAAAUUCCAAUCCAUUGCAUCCAUCAUUUUGACUUGGUCUCAUAAGUUCACUAUCAAUUUCAUCUUGUUCCAUAAGGCAUGCGACUCAAGUGCUAGCUCCUCAUUAACCAUGGUGGUGAUGUGUUUUGUUUAUUUUUAUUUAUUUAUUAUCUUUUUGACUCUUGACUUGUACCAGUAGGUACUUUCAUCCAGUACGGAUGACUAGUAAUUACAGUUAAAAUAAUUGCGGAAGCAGUGGUAUAGAAAUUAUUGAACUAGUUAUUGAUCAAGUAUGUGAUUGGUCAAGCUGUCAGCCAUAUGCCAUUGUGAAUAUAUGAUGUCUAUCACUUGUGUUGUGGCUCAUGAAGUACUUCUGCGCUUGUUCAGAUAUACAACAACAGGGCUGCGUGCUACACUUGGUUUGGAGCCUUGGCUGAAGGACUCAAAGAUGCACAGAAUUGUAUUGAGCUAGAUCCUUCUUUUACAGGAAAUUAUCUUGGUGUUGUGGAUCUAAUCAGUCUUUCUGAUUUUUGCUUUGGAUGGUGUUCUUGAAGGGAGAACUUUUGGGAUGCUAAAAAGCACUCACAAUUUUCAAAUGUUUCUUCAUCCCAAUGCUAUGGAAGGCUUUUUCAAACAAUCCUCAAGCUGUUGUUGAUUGCCCAAUGCUUUCAAAGUCCUUAUAUACUAGAGCCAGUCUUCUUGAACAUGAGAGGGAGUUGCAAAGCCAAAAGGAGAACUUUUUUGUUAAAAAAAUUUAUCAUAUAUUACCAAUAGAGACAACUCGUGUUAAAUUUUUUCUCAAAUAUGGGAAUCCUUGUUUGCAUACUGUUGCUUGGUUCGAAAAUUUGUUAUUAAUCAAAAUGCAUUGCAAUUUAGUUCUUAACUUGUCAAUGAAAGUCAAUGACAUUGAAUUUAA